GGACUACUGGGGUUUCUAAUCCCGUUCGCUCCCCACGCUUUCGCGUCUCAGCGUCAGGGGCGGACCAGGGAGCCGCCUUCGCCACGGGUGUUCCUCCUGAUCUCUACGCAUUUCACCGCUACACCAGGAAUUCCACUCCCCUCUGCCGUCCUCAAGCCUUCCAGUUUCGGGCGGCAUCCCGGGGUUGAGCCCCGGGCUUUCACACCCGACUUAAAAAGCCGCCUACACGCGCUUUACGCCCAGUAAAUCCGGACAACGCUCGCCCCCUACGUAUUACCGCGGCUGCUGGCAC
RNAcentral lists this ribosomal RNA (292 nucleotides) under uncultured bacterium. RNAcentral's name for it is "partial 16S ribosomal RNA". The record is from RNAcentral.